AGAGUUUGAUCAUGGCUCAGAACGAACGCUGGCGGCAGGCCUAACACAUGCAAGUCGAACGCACCGCAAGGUGAGUGGCAGACGGGUGAGUAACACGUGGGAACCUUCCUUUUAGUAUGGAAUAGCCCAGCGAAAGCUGGAUUAAUACCGUAUACGCCCUAUGGGGGAAAGAAUUAUCGCUAAAAGAUGGGCCCGCGUAAGAUUAGCUAGUUGGUGAGGUAAUGGCUCACCAAGGCUACGAUCCUUAGCUGGUUUGAGAGAAUGAUCAGCCACACUGGAACUGAGACACGGUCCAGACUCCUACGGGAGGCAGCAGUGGGGAAUAUUGGACAAUGGGCGCAAGCCUGAUCCAGCCAUGCCGCGUGAAUGAUGAAGGCCUUCGGGUUGUAAAGUUCUUUUAGUGGAGAAAAUAAUGAUGGUAUCCACAGAAAAAGCCCCGGCUAACUUCGUGCCAGCAGCCGCGGUAAUACGAAGGGGGCUAGCGUUGUUCGGAAUUACUGGGCGUAAAGGGUUUGUAGGCGGUUGAACAAGUCAGUGGUGAAAGCCUGGGGCUUAACCUCGGAAUUGCCAUUGAAACUGUUCAGCUUGAGAGUGUUAGAGGAAAGUGGAAUUCCUAGUGUAGGAGUGAAAUCCGUAGAGAUUAGGAGGAAUAUCGAUGGCGAAGGCAGCUUUCUGGGACAUUUCUGACGCUGAGAAACGAAAGCGUGGGUAGCAAACAGGAUUAGAUACCCUGGUAGUCCACGCCCUAAACGAUGGGUGCUAAAUGUCGGAACAUUAGUUUCGGUAUUGUAGCUAACGCGUUAAGCACCCCGCCUGGGGAGUACGGUCGCAAGAUUAAAACUCAAAGGAAUUGACGGGGACCCGCACAAGCGGUGGAGCAUGUGGUUUAAUUCGAGGCUACGCGAAAAACCUUACCAGCUCUUGACAUCCUGAUAGCAGGUCUUGUGACGAGACCCUCAUUUAGUUGGAUCAGAGACAGGUGCUGCAUGGCUGUCGUCAGCUCGUGUCGUGAGUUGUUGGGUUAAGUCCCGCAACGAGCGCAACCCUCAUCAUUAGUUACCAUCAUUUAGUUGGGGACUCUAAUGAAACUGCCGGUGACAAGCCGGAGGAAGGCGGGGAUUGUUGGGUUAAGUCCCGCAACGAGCGCAACCCUCAUCAUUAGUUACCAUCAUUUAGUUGGGGACUCUAAUGAAACUGCCGGUGACAAGCCGGAGGAAGGCGGGGAU
This 1226-nucleotide ribosomal RNA is filed under the name metagenome. RNAcentral's name for it is "bacterial SSU rRNA". It matches the Rfam family "Bacterial small subunit ribosomal RNA", at positions 8 to 1180 of the family's 1533-position model. The record is from RNAcentral.